GACGAACGCUGGCGGCGUGCUUAACACAUGCAAGUCGAGCGAUGAAGUUUCUUCGGAAAUGGAUUAGCGGCGAACGGGUGAGGAGCACGUGAAGAAUCUGCCCUCCACUUUGGGAUAACACAGGGAAACCUGUGCUAAUACCGAAUAUUGAAACAUAAGUGGCAUCACUGAGUUUUGAAAGAAUUUCGGUGGAGGAUGACUUCGCGGCCUAUCAGCUAGUUGGUGAGGUAAUGGCUCACCAAGGNAACACGGGUAGCCGGCCUGAGAGGGCGACCGGCCACACUGGGACUGAGACACGGCCCAGACUCCUACGGGAGGCAGCA
This 323-nucleotide ribosomal RNA is filed under the name uncultured bacterium. RNAcentral's name for it is "bacterial SSU rRNA". It matches the Rfam family "Bacterial small subunit ribosomal RNA", at positions 28 to 353 of the family's 1533-position model. The record is from RNAcentral.